UUUCCCCUGCGGUGUUCGCCAAGGCCAUACAUUCCUUGAACCAAUGCUGAUUGGCAUCGGCCGCAGCCCAACGACGCCGCUGUUGUGAUCGCUCCCGGCGAGCGAACCUGAAGCGGCAGGAAAGUGGCCACUCUGAACCCAGGUUCAGGAUGCCGGCCAAACGGCACACGCGGGGGAAUC
This is a non-coding RNA of Rhodocyclales bacterium, 180 nucleotides long. The record is from Rfam. NCBI's taxonomy places the organism in Bacteria, Pseudomonadati, Pseudomonadota, Betaproteobacteria, Rhodocyclales.